Molecule: ribosomal RNA, 817 nt
Filed under: uncultured bacterium
Lineage: Bacteria
Description: bacterial SSU rRNA
Rfam family: Bacterial small subunit ribosomal RNA
Source: RNAcentral
GGAACUGCGUUCUGAACUGGGUAGCUAGAGUAUGUCAGAGGGGGGUAGAAUUCCACGUGUAGCAGUGAAAUGNGUAGAGAUGUGGAGGAAUACCGAUGGCGAAGGCAGCCCCCUGGGAUAAUACUGACGUUCAUGCUCGAAAGCGUGGGUAGCAAACAGGAUUAGAUACCCUGGUAGUCCACGCCCUAAACGAUGUCGAUUAGCUGUUGGGCAGCUUGACUGCUUAGUAGCGUAGCUAACGCGUGAAAUCGACCGCCUGGGGAGUACGGUCGCAAGAUUAAAACUCAAAGGAAUUGACGGGGACCCGCACAAGCGGUGGAUGAUGUGGAUUAAUUCGAUGCAACGCGAAGAACCUUACCUGGUCUUGACAUGUACGGAACCUUCCAGAGACGGAAGGGUGCCUUCGGGAGCCGUAACACAGGUGCUGCAUGGCUGUCGUCGGCUCGUGUCGUGAGAUGUUGGGUUAAGUCCCGCAACGAGCGCAACCCUUGUCAUUAGUUGCCAUCAUUCAGUUGGGCACUCUAAUGAGACUGCCGGUGACAAACCGGAGGAAGGUGGGGAUGACGUCAAGUCCUCAUGGCCCUUAUGACCAGGGCUUCACACGUCAUACAAUGGUCGGUACAAAGGGUAGCCAAGCCGCGAGGCGGAGCCAAUCUCAUAAAACCGAUCGUAGUCCGGAUUGCACUCUGCAACUCGAGUGCAUGAAGUCGGAAUCGCUAGUAAUCGCAGGUCAGCAUACUGCGGUGAAUACGUUCCCGGGUCUUGUACACACCGCCCGUCACACCAUGGGAGUGGGGGAUACCAGAAGUAGGUAGGG